GAAAGAAACUGCUUGUCAAGCACUUAGGCUACCACUGAGCAAAUUAGAGUAAGGGGCCAGGCAGAGAGGCGAUUGCUUGAAUAUCCCACAGCCCUCCUGCCUGGCCCUGUGGGGUGGAGAUCCACCGCUAUGACCCAGCUCACUCGGCAUGCUCCCCUCUAAACCUCUAAUUCCCAGUGUGGAGGAAGCCCGCUGGGAGGAAUUAGGCCGUGUUGCAGAGACUGUCAGCAAUAAAGACAGCACAGAGGCAGAAGAUGCACCUCGCAGGCUGCGCUCAAUCAGCUCUGGCCCUGAACUGCACUGGAAGGGACUUGUGAUGCUUGAGAAGAGGGAGGCAGGCCCACAAGAGGAGAGGGCCACUGUGGCUGAUGUCCAAGAUGACUUUAAAAGAUCAUUCAGGACAUUUUGGAGACGAUGCUUUUGUGCAAAUGCCAGGAAGGGAUUUUUUUUUUUAAUUGAAGAUUAAUGCACCAAUGGAACGGAGCGGAUCUAUGAGUCAACGCGUAUGAAAGUGACACAGAAACAGAACGAUUCACCCGCCCCUCGCAGUCUCUCUGAUCAGCCAGUACCCAAGCAUCAUUUCCCUGGACCUGGCACAAACUUGUCACAUCUGCUCCCUUGAUUCCUUGUCUGUUUUGAAAAACUGGAUGAUUGAUUGGUGCCCUUUAUAGCUUCUUUUGGUUCCCUUUAAGUACCUUUUUUUCUGGCUGCCUGAUUUCUAUUAUCUAUUAUUAUUCUAUUAUUAUUAUUUCUAUUAUUCUAUUAUUAUUAUUAUUAUU
Non-coding RNA from Podarcis muralis (Common wall lizard), 779 nucleotides. NCBI's taxonomy places the organism in Eukaryota, Metazoa, Chordata, Lepidosauria, Squamata, Lacertidae. The record is from RefSeq and is a predicted model, not a curated record.